UCAGUCGACUCCUACGGGGAGGCAGCAGUGAGGAAUAUGGUCAAUGGGCGCAAGCCUGAACCAGCCAUGCCGCGUGCAGAGACUGCCCUAUGGGUUGUAAACUGCUUUAUACAGGAAGAAACACUACCCUCGUGAGGGAGCUUGACGGUACUGUAAGAAUAAGGAUCGGCUAACUCCGUGCCAGCAGCCGCGGUAAUACGGAGGAUCCAAGCGUUAUCCGGAAUCAUUGGGUUUAAAGGGUCCGUAGGUGGAUUAGUAAGUCAGAGGUGAAAUCCUGCAGCUCAACUGUAGAACUGCCUUUGAUACUGCUAGUCUUGAGUCAUUAUGAAGUGGUUAGAAUGUGUAGUGUAGCGGUGAAAUGCAUAGAUAUUACACAGAAUACCGAUUGCGAAGGCAGAUCACUAAUAAUGUACUGACACUGAUGGACGAAAGCGUGGGGAGCGAACAGGAUUAGAUACCCCUGGUAG
Molecule: ribosomal RNA, 467 nt
Filed under: uncultured bacterium
Lineage: Bacteria
Description: bacterial SSU rRNA
Rfam family: Bacterial small subunit ribosomal RNA
Source: RNAcentral